Molecule: ribosomal RNA, 543 nt
Filed under: uncultured bacterium
Lineage: Bacteria
Description: bacterial SSU rRNA
Rfam family: Bacterial small subunit ribosomal RNA
Source: RNAcentral
CACCUACGGGUGGCUGCAGUGGGGAAUUUUGGACAAUGGGGGCAACCCUGAUCCAGCCAUGCCGCGUGUGCGAAGAAGGCCUUCGGGUUGUAAAGCACUUUUGGCAGGAACGAAACGGUUUGCGUUAAUACCGCGAACUAAUGACGGUACCUGCAGAAUAAGCACCGGCUAACUACGUGCCAGCAGCCGCGGUAAUACGUAGGGUGCAAGCGUUAAUCGGAAUUACUGGGCGUAAAGCGUGCGCAGGCGGUUAUAUAAGACCGAUGUGAAAUCCCCGGGCUCAACCUGGGAACUGCAUUGGUGACUGUAUAGCUAGAGUGUGUCAGAGGGGGGUAGAAUUCCACGUGUAGCAGUGAAAUGCGUAGAGAUGUGGAGGAAUACCGAUGGCGAAGGCAGCCCCCUGGGAUAACACUGACGCUCAUGCACGAAAGCGUGGGGAGCAAACAGGAUUAGAUACCCUGGUAGUCCACGCCCUAAACGAUGUCUACUAGUUGUUGGGAGGGUAACCUCUUAGUAACGCAGCUAACGCGUGAAGUAGACCGC